AUUGAAUUAGUUUAUUAAAAAUAAGAAAUUGUGGAUUUCUAGAAUCAAAUUUGAAUUUAAUU
This 62-nucleotide transfer RNA is filed under the name Hiratettix distanti. RNAcentral's name for it is "tRNA-His". Lineage: Eukaryota; Metazoa; Arthropoda; Insecta; Hemiptera; Cicadellidae. RNAcentral also lists the same sequence under 2 other names. The record is from RNAcentral.